UGUAAAGCUCUUUGUAGGGGAAGAUAUGACUGUACCCUAGAAUAGGUCCGGCUAACUUCGUGCCAGCAGCCGCGGUAAUACGAAGGGACCUAGCGUAGUUCGGAAUUACUGGGCGUAAAGCGCGCGUAGGCUGUUGAGUUAGUUAAUUGUGAAAUCCCAAAGCUUAACUUUGGAACUGCAAUUAAAACUGCUCGACUAGAGUUUGAUAGAGGAAAGCGGAAUACAUAGUGUAGAGGUGAAAUUCGUAGAUAUUAUGUAGAACACCAGUUGCGAAGGCGGCUUUCUGGAUCAACACUGACGCUGAGGCGCGAAAGUAUGGGUAGCAAAGAGGAUUAGAUACCCUCGUAGUCCAUACCAUAAACGAUGAUUGCUAGAUGUUGGAAAUUUAUUUUCAGUAUCGCAGCUAACGCAUUAAGCAAUCCGCCUGGGGAGUACGACCGCAAGGUUAAAACUCAAAUGAAUUGACGGGGACCCGCACAAGCGGUGGAGCAUGUGGUUUAAUUCGAAGAUACGCGCAGAACCUUACCAACCCUUGACAUGUCUGUCGCGAGUUUAGGAAACUAGACUCUUCGGUUCGGCCGGACAGAACACAGGUGCUGCAUGGCUGUCGUCAGCUCGUGUCGUGAGAUGUUGGGUUAAGUCCCGCAACGAGCGCAACCCCUACUUUUAGUUGCCAUCAGGUCAUGCUGGGCACUCUGAAAGAACUGCCAGUGAUAAGCUGGAGGAAGGUGGGGAUGACGUCAAGUCCUCAUGGCCCUUACGGGUUGGGCUACACACGUGCUACAAUGGUAGUGACAAUGAGAUGCAAAGUGGCGACGCUAAGCUAAACUCAAAAAUCUACCUCAGUUCGGAUUGCACUCUGCAACUCGAGUGCAUGAAGCUGGAAUCGCUAGUAAUCGUAGAUCAGCGUGCUACGGUGAAUACGUUCCCGGGUCUUGUACACACCGCCCGUCACACCAUGGAAGUUGGUUCUACCUUAAAGCAGAUUGCUAACCGCAAGGAGGCGUUUGACCAAGGUAUAGUCAGCGACUGGGGUGAAGUCGUAACAAGGUA
RNAcentral lists this ribosomal RNA (1053 nucleotides) under uncultured bacterium. Its description in RNAcentral is "bacterial SSU rRNA". It matches the Rfam family "Bacterial small subunit ribosomal RNA", at positions 424 to 1498 of the family's 1533-position model. The record is from RNAcentral.